GAGGAUGUAGCUCAAAUGGUAGAGCACAUGCCUAGCAUGCACAAGGUCCUGAGUUCAAUCCCCAGUGCCUCCU
RNAcentral lists this transfer RNA (73 nucleotides) under Camelus bactrianus (Bactrian camel). It matches the Rfam family "tRNA". From Rfam's summary of the family: Transfer RNA (tRNA) molecules are approximately 80 nucleotides in length. Their secondary structure includes four short double-helical elements and three loops (D, anti-codon, and T loops). Lineage: Eukaryota; Metazoa; Chordata; Mammalia; Artiodactyla; Camelidae. RNAcentral also lists the same sequence under 3 other names. The record is from Rfam by way of RNAcentral.